AAGUCGUAACAAGGUUUCCGUAGGUGAACCUGCGGAAGGAUCAUUAACACGUAUCCACGUAUUCACCCCUGUGAACUCGUUUUCAACCUCUCCCUUUGACCUCGUCAUGAAGUGCAAUCCAGCUAUGAGCUGAUAUGGGAAGCUUCGGCUUCCACAUAGUCGGAUUGAUCGGAGCUUGCUCCACGCUUGUAGAUGAGUCGAAGGCUCUAUGUCUCUUCUCUCGCAGCAUGCAUCAGCGCUGUGAGUUGGAGGAGAAGAUUACACACACCUUUCACCCCCUUUUUGCUAGUUGACUUUUUAUAUGUGGCGCUGUCCUUAUCAUUCAUUUGAUGAGCAGUUCACACGUUUAAUUACUUGAACGUUAAAAAUACAACUCUUAGCAAUGGAUAUCUUGGUUCUC
Molecule: unclassified non-coding RNA, 400 nt
Filed under: fungal sp.
Lineage: Eukaryota; Fungi
Description: partial internal transcribed spacer region
Rfam family: Eukaryotic small subunit ribosomal RNA (bases 1-46)
Source: RNAcentral